Molecule: non-coding RNA, 76 nt
Filed under: chicken gut metagenome
Description: NiCo riboswitch
Rfam family: NiCo (Nickel/Cobalt) riboswitch aptamer
Source: RNAcentral
ACAGUACAAACUGAACAGGCCAGUCGGAGCCGGGCCGCAUUUGCGGCAGCAGAGCGUUUUACCUCUGCGGGACAGU